Cymbomonas tetramitiformis is the source of this 79-nucleotide non-coding RNA. Lineage: Eukaryota; Viridiplantae; Chlorophyta; Pyramimonadophyceae; Pyramimonadales; Pyramimonadaceae. The record is from the annotation of a GenBank genome assembly.
CUCCGCGUAGCUCAGUUGCGGUAGUUAGAGCGUCGCACUAGAUAAGCGAACGUCACGGGUUCAGAUCCCGUCGUGGAGC